AACGAACGCUGGCGGCAUGCCUAACACAUGCAAGUCGAACGAGACCUUCGGGUUUAGUGGCGCACGGGUGGGUAACGCGUGGGAACCUGCCCUUAGGUUCGGAAUAACUCCCCGAAAGGGGUGCUAAUACAGGAUAAUGUCUUCGGACCAAAGAUUUAUCGCCUUUGGCUGGGGCCGCGUUGGAUUAGCGAGUUGGUAGGGUAAAAGCCUACCAAGGCGACGAUCCAUAGCUGGUCUGAGAGGAUGAUAAGCCACACUGGGACUGAGACACGGCCCAGACUCCUACGGGAGGCAGCAGUGGGGAAUAUUGGACAAUGGGCGAAAGCCUGAUCCAGCAAUGCCGCGUGAGUGAUGAAGGCCUUAGGGAUGUAAAGCUCUUUUACCCGGGAUGAUAAUGACAGUACCGGGAGAAUAAGCUCCGGCUAACUCCGUG
Molecule: ribosomal RNA, 433 nt
Filed under: uncultured bacterium
Lineage: Bacteria
Description: partial 16S ribosomal RNA
Rfam family: Bacterial small subunit ribosomal RNA
Source: RNAcentral